Molecule: ribosomal RNA, 242 nt
Filed under: uncultured bacterium
Lineage: Bacteria
Description: partial 16S ribosomal RNA
Rfam family: Bacterial small subunit ribosomal RNA
Source: RNAcentral
UUGGCGAACGGGUGAGUAACGCGUGAGUAACCUGCCCUGGAGUGGGGGACAACAGUUGGAAACGACUGCUAAUACCGCAUAAGCCCACGGCCCGGCAUCGGGCUGCGGGAAAAGGAUUUAUUCGCUUCAGGAUGGACUCGCGUCCAAUUAGCUAGUUGGUGAGGUAACGGCCCACCAAGGCGACGAUUGGUAGCCGGACUGAGAGGUUGAACGGCCACAUUGGGACUGAGACACGGGCCCAG